Molecule: non-coding RNA, 709 nt
Filed under: Khawia sinensis
Lineage: Eukaryota; Metazoa; Platyhelminthes; Cestoda; Caryophyllidea; Lytocestidae
Source: RNAcentral
ACGUUUAAUUUUGGCGUUAGCAAGAGGGCUUGUUAUCAGUCACAUAGAAUAUUUCUAUUAUUUUAUGGGGGUUAAGUUUUGUCUCUUUUUCUAGUGAUUAAUAUUUUAUUUUAGUGUAAGCUAUUUAAAGGUAAUAAGCAUAAAGGGGAUAGGACACAGUGCCAGCAUCCGCGGUUAUUCUGCUCUCUUUUCUUUUUUUUUGGCUUUUAACGACAACAAUAGUGUAAAUUGUGUAAAAACUUUUAUUGGGUUUUAUGUGUGUCGUUUGUAUUGGAAGUGGUUUAGUAAGACAUGGAUUAGAUACCCAUUUAUUUGCUGACUUAUUAUGCUGUAGUUUAUAUAACUAAAAAAUUUUGGCAGCGAGCAAACCUAUUCGGGGGAGUGUGCCAUUUAAAGGACGAUCCACCCAUUAAUUAACUAUUUUUAUGCUGGUGUAUAUCUGGUUUAAUAUUAGUGCUGUUAUAGCUGAAUUUGUGUAGAUGUAGUUAAGCCAAGUCUAUGUGCUGCGUAUAAUAGGAUUGGUGCAUUACAUUUAUAAGGCGUAGGUGGUAGAGGGCUACGUUUAUUUAGGACUCGAUAGUAAUAUUAUAUUAUUUUGAUAAUGUGAAUUUAGUUUAGCUUGGGUACACACCGCCCGUCACCCUCGUCUUUUGUUGAGGUAAGUCGUAACAUGGUAGCCCCAGAUGAAUCUGGGGCUAAGUUUAGUUUA